CUUUAGCCCCGACAGCAGCGGCAUCCUUUGCUUUUUUUCUUUAAAAAGCAAAGAUAUAGCGGAUGGCGGGACGAUGU
RNAcentral lists this small RNA (77 nucleotides) under Flavobacterium succinicans. RNAcentral describes it as "Flavo-1 RNA". It matches the Rfam family "Flavo-1 RNA". The record is from Rfam by way of RNAcentral. Lineage: Bacteria; Pseudomonadati; Bacteroidota; Flavobacteriia; Flavobacteriales; Flavobacteriaceae.